This 2905-nucleotide ribosomal RNA is filed under the name Escherichia coli DEC13D. RNAcentral's name for it is "bacterial LSU rRNA". It matches the Rfam family "Bacterial large subunit ribosomal RNA". Lineage: Bacteria; Pseudomonadati; Pseudomonadota; Gammaproteobacteria; Enterobacterales; Enterobacteriaceae. The record is from RNAcentral.
UUAAGCGACUAAGCGUACACGGUGGAUGCCCUGGCAGUCAGAGGCGAUGAAGGACGUGCUAAUCUGCGAUAAGCGUCGGUAAGGUGAUAUGAACCGUUAUAACCGGCGAUUUCCGAAUGGGGAAACCCAGUGUGAUUCGUCACACUAUCAUUAACUGAAUCCAUAGGUUAAUGAGGCGAACCGGGGGAACUGAAACAUCUAAGUACCCCGAGGAAAAGAAAUCAACCGAGAUUCCCCCAGUAGCGGCGAGCGAACGGGGAGCAGCCCAGAGCCUGAAUCAGUGUGUGUGUUAGUGGAAGCGUCUGGAAAGGCGCGCGAUACAGGGUGACAGCCCCGUACACAAAAAUGCACAUACUGUGAGCUCGAUGAGUAGGGCGGGACACGUGGUAUCCUGUCUGAAUAUGGGGGGACCAUCCUCCAAGGCUAAAUACUCCUGACUGACCGAUAGUGAACCAGUACCGUGAGGGAAAGGCGAAAAGAACCCCGGCGAGGGGAGUGAAAAAGAACCUGAAACCGUGUACGUACAAGCAGUGGGAGCACAGAGCAAUCUGUGUGACUGCGUACCUUUUGUAUAAUGGGUCAGCGACUUAUAUUCCGUAGCAAGGUUAACCGAAUAGGGGAGCCGAAGGGAAACCGAGUCUUAACUGGGCGUUAAGUUGCAGGGUAUAGACCCGAAACCCGGUGAUCUAGCCAUGGGCAGGUUGAAGGUUGGGUAACACUAACUGGAGGACCGAACCGACUAAUGUUGAAAAAUUAGCGGAUGACUUGUGGCUGGGGGUGAAAGGCCAAUCAAACCGGGAGAUAGCUGGUUCUCCCCGAAAGCUAUUUAGGUAGCGCCUCGUGAAUUCAUCUCCGGGGGUAGAGCACUGUUUCGGCAAGGGGGUCAUCCCGACUUACCAACCCGAUGCAAACUGCGAAUACCGGAGAAUGUUAUCACGGGAGACACACGGCGGGUGCUAACGUCCGUCGUGAAGAGGGAAACAACCCAGACCGCCAGCUAAGGUCCCAAAGUCAUGGUUAAGUGGGAAACGAUGUGGGAAGGCCCAGACAGCCAGGAUGUUGGCUUAGAAGCAGCCAUCAUUUAAAGAAAGCGUAAUAGCUCACUGGUCGAGUCGGCCUGCGCGGAAGAUGUAACGGGGCUAAACCAUGCACCGAAGCUGCGGCAGCGACGCUUAUGCGUUGUUGGGUAGGGGAGCGUUCUGUAAGCCUGCGAAGGUGUGCUGUGAGGCAUGCUGGAGGUAUCAGAAGUGCGAAUGCUGACAUAAGUAACGAUAAAGCGGGUGAAAAGCCCGCUCGCCGGAAGACCAAGGGUUCCUGUCCAACGUUAAUCGGGGCAGGGUGAGUCGACCCCUAAGGCGAGGCCGAAAGGCGUAGUCGAUGGGAAACAGGUUAAUAUUCCUGUACUUGGUGUUACUGCGAAGGGGGGACGGAGAAGGCUAUGUUGGCCGGGCGACGGUUGUCCCGGUUUAAGCGUGUAGGCUGGUUUUCCAGGCAAAUCCGGAAAAUCAAGGCUGAGGCGUGAUGACGAGGCACUACGGUGCUGAAGCAACAAAUGCCCUGCUUCCAGGAAAAGCCUCUAAGCAUCAGGUAACAUCAAAUCGUACCCCAAACCGACACAGGUGGUCAGGUAGAGAAUAACCAAGGCGCUUGAGAGAACUCGGGUGAAGGAACUAGGCAAAAUGGUGCCGUAACUUCGGGAGAAGGCACGCUGAUAUGUAGGUGAAGUCCCUCGCGGAUGGAGCUGAAAUCAGUCGAAGAUACCAGCUGGCUGCAACUGUUUAUUAAAAACACAGCACUGUGCAAACACGAAAGUGGACGUAUACGGUGUGACGCCUGCCCGGUGCCGGAAGGUUAAUUGAUGGGGUUAGCGCAAGCGAAGCUCUUGAUCGAAGCCCCGGUAAACGGCGGCCGUAACUAUAACGGUCCUAAGGUAGCGAAAUUCCUUGUCGGGUAAGUUCCGACCUGCACGAAUGGCGUAAUGAUGGCCAGGCUGUCUCCACCCGAGACUCAGUGAAAUUGAACUCGCUGUGAAGAUGCAGUGUACCCGCGGCAAGACGGAAAGACCCCGUGAACCUUUACUAUAGCUUGACACUGAACAUUGAGCCUUGAUGUGUAGGAUAGGUGGGAGGCUUUGAAGUGUGGACGCCAGUCUGCAUGGAGCCGACCUUGAAAUACCACCCUUUAAUGUUUGAUGUUCUAACGUGGACCCGUAAUCCGGGUUGCGGACAGUGUCUGGUGGGUAGUUUGACUGGGGCGGUCUCCUCCUAAAGAGUAACGGAGGAGCACGAAGGUUGGCUAAUCCUGGUCGGACAUCAGGAGGUUAGUGCAAUGGCAUAAGCCAGCUUGACUGCGAGCGUGACGGCGCGAGCAGGUGCGAAAGCAGGUCAUAGUGAUCCGGUGGUUCUGAAUGGAAGGGCCAUCGCUCAACGGAUAAAAGGUACUCCGGGGAUAACAGGCUGAUACCGCCCAAGAGUUCAUAUCGACGGCGGUGUUUGGCACCUCGAUGUCGGCUCAUCACAUCCUGGGGCUGAAGUAGGUCCCAAGGGUAUGGCUGUUCGCCAUUUAAAGUGGUACGCGAGCUGGGUUUAGAACGUCGUGAGACAGUUCGGUCCCUAUCUGCCGUGGGCGCUGGAGAACUGAGGGGGGCUGCUCCUAGUACGAGAGGACCGGAGUGGACGCAUCACUGGUGUUCGGGUUGUCAUGCCAAUGGCACUGCCCGGUAGCUAAAUGCGGAAGAGAUAAGUGCUGAAAGCAUCUAAGCACGAAACUUGCCCCGAGAUGAGUUCUCCCUGACUCCUUGAGAGUCCUGAAGGAACGUUGAAGACGACGACGUUGAUAGGCCGGGUGUGUAAGCGCAGCGAUGCGUUGAGCUAACCGGUACUAAUGAACCGUGAGGCUUAACCUU